This 179-nucleotide ribosomal RNA is filed under the name uncultured bacterium. RNAcentral's name for it is "partial 16S ribosomal RNA". It matches the Rfam family "Bacterial small subunit ribosomal RNA", at positions 1322 to 1500 of the family's 1533-position model. The record is from RNAcentral.
GAAGCCGGAAUUGCUAGUAAUGGCAGGUCAGCAUACUGCCGUGAAUACGUUCCCGGGCCUUGUACACACCGCCCGUCACACCAUGAGAGUUGGGGAUACCCGAAGCCUGUGAGCUAACAGUAAUGGAGCAGCAGUCGAAGGUAGAAUCAAUGAUUGGGGUGAAGUCGUAACAAGGUACC